Molecule: ribosomal RNA, 253 nt
Filed under: uncultured bacterium
Lineage: Bacteria
Description: partial 16S ribosomal RNA
Rfam family: Bacterial small subunit ribosomal RNA
Source: RNAcentral
UACGUAGGGUGCGAGCGUUAAUCGGAAUUACUGGGCGUAAAGCGUGCGCAGGCGGUUUUGUAAGCCAGAUGUGAAAUCCCCGGGCUUAACCUGGGAAUGGCAUUUGGGACUGCAAGGCUUGAGUGCGGCAGAGGAGACUGGAAUUCCUGGUGUAGCAGUGAAAUGCGUAGAUAUCAGGAGGAACACCGAUUGCGAAGGCAGCUCGCUGGGACGUCACUGACGCUGAGACGCGAAAGCGUGGGGAGCAAACAGG